GAUGUAGCCACCUAGCUUCAACCCAACUGGAGCUAACUGGAACACCCAUCGACCUGAACCUCACACGGAGUUUAGGUGGAGGUUUUCUGCGCCUGUUCGUGAGAAGUACCUGUAUUAAAAAAGUUUUAAAUCGAUCUGUUUAAAUGUCACCAUGGCAGCCUGUGUGUCUCCAACAUCAGCUAUGCAAAGCAGCAAGUCCAUUUGGAUAAUUGGAGACAGCUGAGUGAGGUGUGGUGCCCAGAGAGCUGCAGAGACAACCUUGGCCUCCCUGACGUCUGUGUCUCCUGGUUUGGUUGGGGCGGACCAUCGACAUACAUACAUGUGCCGACACUUUGCGCGCUGUUUUAUAAAAUGUAGUGUUAAAAAUAAAUGUUUUUGCUCAAUUACUGGAAUUUCUUUGGUUAAGACAAAAGUGAGGAAUAAUCAUUUACAAGUUAUUUGUACAACAGGCCCAUUUUAAAUCCCAACAGUUUCUUAGCAGACAAUAGAAAUGUGUUCUUUACUAACUUUACUUGGUUUAAAAAUCUUACUAAAAUAGUGCCGUAUUGCAAAACCCAAUCAUACUUGUUAUGUAUACAUUAGUUUUGUAGAUAUUUUUUACAGAUAUAUAUUUGUGUGCAACAAAUCCAAACUUUGUCAUUCUUUAUUGAAAAACAACAAAAUACAGUUAUACAGAAGUGUGGGAAAAUGAUAAUGUGAAAGUAUUGCUAUUUAAAUGUAAUCCUAUUUAUCUUUAAAAAGAAAAACUCUAAAAAUGUCCUGUACAGCAUCAUGACAGAAGAAUGGUGGUCUGUCUGUCAGAAUGUGCUGAACAGAUUUGCUCUUUGAAGAGGAGUGUCAUGUUUGGAGGAAGGUACUUAACCCAAGACAUGCAGAAUACAACACUGACCAAAAACUGAUGGAAAAAAUGAUUUAUUUAUAAGGAGGAACUUAAGGUGCACAGAUAAGUCUGUGGUUGGAACUGCAACAACAGCUCAGCGUCUGGAGGAGGGAGAACACAGGUGAGCUUAGGUUCUGGUUUCAAAAUCCAUUGUAGGCAGGCAGAGGUGUUCAGCAGACUUACUGUGGUGGGUGUAUGUGUUGGCUGGAGGAGGGAGAGGUAGAGAGCCGGGGGAAGCGCAGGAGAGGGAGCAGAGGUGGAGAGAAGCGGGGCGUCCUGGUGGAUGGGGCACUGGGUGAGAUGAGAGGUGGGUUAUGGAGGGUGGUGAUAAGGUCCGUGUGUUGAAUAUCCAAAUCCUGGAGUAGAGGUCAGUAUCCAAUGAGGUCGACAGGAAUCCUGAAGAAUGGUAAAUCCAAUAUAAGAGCAAAAACACUACGAAAUAACAUUAAUCCUAGGAACACUAGAGGUAACACGAGUGGCUGGUUACUACCAAAACUGAGGCAAUCUUCUGGCGUCAAAUUGUGUCCUCCAUCCACCUUAAAUAGGAAAGCACCCCGCUGAUUGCUGAUCAGGAACGGCUGGGGUGUAGUCACCAGAACCAUGAAGAACGUGUCUCCAGAGACAACUCGGGUCCUGGUACCAAUCAGGAAAGCGGACCUUAUCACCCAGAGCUGCCAGGUCACGCUCAAAGCCUUCAUGUUCACGCUGCAGAGCCUGAACGCUGGCCAGGUGGUGGCCGUAGUUGUCUGUGUUCAGGGCCUGGUUCUUCUCCUCGAUCCACUCUUUGGUCUCAUCAGCGUCUCUGAGAAGACAUCAGAACUCCGUCUGAGUGUGGGUCCAAACUCUACUGACCCGUAAGCGGCGCAUAAGUGUGCGGGGUACCUGUGGAAGCGCUACACCUCAUGGGCGCUGCCCAGCAUGUUGCAGCGAGCGCCAGCGGUUGUUCAGCUCCUGGAGAGAAACCAAACCCAGUGAGAUGAAGGUGGACGCCAGCGGGCUGGACGCCGGACGAGGAAACCUGGAGACGGAUCGCUCAGACAGGAAGGGAAGAGCUUCCUCUUACCUUGAUGGAAUUAAAGUUAGCCGUCGUCUGAACGCCCAACCGUACGGUCUGAGGUCAAAGGUCACAGGAAACACACACCAGUCAGCAGUCAUACAGAUGCAUAAAGAUAACUGUAGCCAUGGCAACCAGCUGACAUGUCCCCACUUUCACCAGCACCUGGUGCCUGCCGGGUCACCUGAAUUCCUGUGUGAUGUCAGCACGGUCGGCCGUGACUGCGGCCAUCAGAGGUGACCUCUGAUCAGCUGAAUGAACUCACCUUCUAGGGUGACGCCGUGUUACCCCGGGUUUCCACGGGAGCCGUCAGCAGCACGUUACUGCAGCAGCACGUCUUGCUCGCGUAAGCUGCUGCUCGGCCCUUCCCGCGACAUGCUGCUCCUGAGACGUGGCCGACUCGCGCUGCUGACGGCUCCGGUGGAAAAGGUUCUGUUGACCACAGCGGUUCCUAUCAGCAGCUAUGACGUGCUGCUGCAGUAACGUGCUGCUGACGACUCCUGUGGAAAGCCGGGGUUAGAGUCGGCUUCAUCCUGUAAACAAACAAAUGAGUGGUAACAAAAACACCACGUCUGGUUCUGGUGGAGGCGGAGGACAACACGCACCUUUCCAGGAGCAGAACCCAGAUGUUCUUGUUGCUACAAACAGAGACGAGCAGAGUUAACAAACCAGGAAGUGAGAGGGACCAGCUGCUGCAGACAGGUGACGCUCACCUGAGCCUGAACCAUAGGAGCCUCCUCAGCCAUCAGACCUUCUGACUCCAGUUCAGAUGCCACCUUGUUGAUGUCCCUCAGGCGGGACUCGUUGGCCUUCAGGUCCUGCAGGACAAAAGCACCUGCUGAUUAUCACCUGAGCUGAUCUGACAGCUGCUGCUGGAAGACGGAGAGGAGGAAAAGUCCGACCUUCUGGAAGUCGUCAAACUUCUUCUGCAAGACCUCGACCUGCUCCAGGUCCGACCCGUCUCUCCAUCCUCAUUCAGCUAAAGACGCGAGUUCAAGUAAAACAACCUAAAGUCACACAAACACAAAGCAGGUGUGGAGAUGUUCGCUCUGAGCUGGAGGUCGUUCCUCGGCUGUGAAGGGCACACGAACCUUGUUGGUGCUGUUGAGCAGCGUGAGGAUGUCGCCCUUCUUCAUGGUGACCUCUCCAGGACUCUUCUCCUGGUAGUCGUACAGAGCCAGAACCAGCUCCUUCCCGGUCUCAUCGUCAGUUGGAGCCACUUGUUGCUGUCGGGUUAACAGGUCUGGUGUUAGAACGUGGUGGAUAAGAAUGUUCUGACGGGCCGAGGGUUCUGAACCAGCGAAGUGACCUGGACCCAAACAAAGUGAGCCAGAACCUGCAGACACCUCAGAAACAUGUCAGGACCAGACCUGCUCUACCUUCUUCCACCAUGGUCUCUCCUUUCUGGGUGACAGCCUUGAUGCGAGGUUCAUGACCUGUGAUCUCAGCCUGCAGAGCCUGGUGCUUCUUCAGCAGGUUCUGGACACCAAUCAGGUCCUUUCC
Nothobranchius furzeri (turquoise killifish) is the source of this 3437-nucleotide non-coding RNA. The record is from RefSeq and is a predicted model, not a curated record. NCBI's taxonomy places the organism in Eukaryota, Metazoa, Chordata, Actinopteri, Cyprinodontiformes, Nothobranchiidae.